Molecule: long non-coding RNA, 2786 nt
Organism: Humulus lupulus (European hop)
Lineage: Eukaryota; Viridiplantae; Streptophyta; Magnoliopsida; Rosales; Cannabaceae
Exons: 3
Source: RefSeq, a predicted model, not a curated record
UAGCUUCUCCCGCCUAUUCUCUUAAAGAAAAAAAAUAAACUUCCAUCCUUCCUUUUUUCGGUGCCCCCACAACCGAAUGACUAAGAUCUUCUCCUCACCGCUCCAUAGAUGGCUCUCCUCUGUCACAAAUGGCUCAAACUUCAGAUCUUUGGGUGGGAUUUUAUUCUCGGGUUGAAGACAGAAAAUUUGAAUAUUUAAAGGAAGCUUUGUGAUGAUUCCAGUAUUAAUGGUGAAGCUUAAGGUCAUUGAAACAGAGGUUCUAUCUAAUCUUUUUAAUUGUCUUGUUUCUGGCAUGUAUAUAUACACGUUUAUUAAUAGUUUAGUUGAUUCCAUAUAUGUAUAAAAUUAGUGUUCUUUAGCUCACCACUUUUUCUACAAGUUACUCAAUUUUUAAAAUUGUAUAUCUGUCGGGAUUCUUCAUUGUCAAAUAUUUAUUUAAGUAAGCUUUCUAUAUCUAUGCUAAAUGCUUGAAAUUUUCUCAUAAACAAAGUAAAGUUUAAUGAUGAAAAUUUAACCUUUUGCUACACAAUGACUCUUGCUGGGAAAUUUUUUUAUUUUGAAUUACUACUUUAGCCCUUUUCUAUGAUCUUUUACUGGACUUGCUAUAAAAAGGUCAUUCUGUUUUGUUGAAAUGAAUAGAGACGCAAAUGAUUAAAGUGUCUUAUCUUAGUUUAAUUUUGAUUAUUAAGAUUGAUAACUUUAAUUCUUAUAAUGACAAACAGUAACUAUUUCUAUAACUAUUUGAAAAACACUAUAUAUAUAUCAAUCUUAUACAUAGAUAAUGGAUGAUUCUGACUAUAUAUAGCUUUGUUGAGAGUGACAUGCUAUUAACGUCCUCUACUUACAUUGUUUUAAAAUAGCUUGGUUUUGGCCACAGAAUUAACAUUAUUUAUGUGCAGUAGUAUGACCUUUUUUUAGUGAUGCUGCUAUUGGUUUCAUAUCAUAUUAAUAUUGUUCAUUAAUUUUUUCUCUAUAUAUUAUACAAGUGUAUGUUAGAGGAGUUUGAAUAUCUUAAAUAUUCAUCCAUAGUGAAGUAGCAUUUGGGAUUAUAAUUGUUUGCUGUGGUGAUAACUAAAGGUUGAAAACUUGCAUGUAUUAGUGAAGUAGGUUUUGAUAAUUUUGUGUGCUGUCGUGAUAUAAGGAUGAAAACCUGUGUGUUGUUUGAUUUGUUUGUGUUGAUUAUGAUAGAUGGCUAGGCUAGUAAAUUAGGAGAUACACUAUUUGACCUUGAUUCGCCAUCCACGAUGAACGGAGACCCUCCCCACCACGAUGAACGACAUCCAUAGCAAGAGCACUCGUGCCUCCAUUUAUAUCUGUGAGAUAUAUAUAUAUAUAUAUUUCAAAUUUCAACUGAAUAUCGUAUAAUUAAUUUAUAUAUAUAUAAAAAAAAUAUUUAUAUAUAUAUAUAUGUUUGUAAGUUUGUAUGUUGUGUAUGAGUUAUUCCGAUGCCUAGUAUAUAUCAUAUGGUAUCAUAUAUUUAGAUUUAACAUGUUUUCAUUAGAGAAAUUUUGUGAGAAAGGGCUUUGGGGCAUUGAGAAAGAGAAAAUGGGUUUUGGGUUGGUUCAUUUACUGCCAAAACCAUCCUUUGUGCUAUGUGACUAUAUAUACUAGUCAUCUCACAAAAUUUCUUGGCUGAACCGGUAUAACUUUGUGGUGUCAUCUAUUUAAUUUUUUGUUCUUUAGUUUAAUUUUGUUUGUUUUGCUAUUGUUAUUUGCUUAUCAAUUUUUGAUGUUGUAUUAAAUUUUCAUAUUUCAGUUCUUGAUCAGAGAAUUACAUUGUAUUCUAUUAAUUGAUUUGCAUACUUUGUUUUCAGGCCUUGUUUUCUAAAAUCAGGUUCUAAAAAACUGAGCCAGAAGUAGUAGCAGUUACUGAAGUGGGAUAAUGGCUUCUAUUUCAAAGAUAUUAAUGAAUGGCAACGAUAUUAUAAUUAUUAUGUAAGAAAUUAAUGCAAUUUUGGUAUUAUAAAAAACUUUUUGCUGUACUAUUUGGUUAGUAUACUUUGGUGAUACCACUUCUUUGAGUAUCACACAACCUGCAGUACUAGUCUCAUAUUACGCUUAUAUAGGUCCAUGCUUAGAAAAUAAUUUGUUUGUGUGAUGAUGCAUGUGUAAUGGACCUACACUUUCAAUGUCAUUGUUUAGUUAAAAUUAAAUGUUUGGAUAGGAUCUAAAAGUAUUAGAGGUUAACAUAAUUACAAAGAACACAAUUUAUCGCCUUUGUUUGACUUAAGUUAAUUUUGGAUUGAUUGUUUUGAUUCAGAGUUUGUGAGAUAAGCAACAUGGGCUUUAGGAUUGAAUUGAGAAUUUAGGUUUUGGGAUUUUGAAAAAUGGCUUUGGUAUCUCAUUCUUUAGUUGUAAUUUCUGGAAAACCAGCUUCGGAUAUUCUUUGGAGCUUUAUAUAUGAGUUACUACAAUUGUUCAUUAUUCAUUUUGAUGUUUAUUUAUUGUUUUUUGGAUAAUUUGUUAUGUAAAUAAAUGUUACUAAUUGUUUAAUAAGUGAUACCAAAAAAGAAUCACCAUUUGUGAUAUGUAUGAAUGUUUAUUUGGAAUAAGUACAAUAUAUUCCAUGUUAUAAUAUUUCAAGCAUUAAUUUUAUUUUUAGGUAGUGGAAUUUGAUAACUCUACAAAAUAGAGUUAUUUUACCAUAUUUUAUAAGCCAAUUGUUGCUUAGUUCUUGAGUUUUAAAUUAAUUUAUUAAUUUUUUUAAGUAAUUUUGAAUUUAUUAGUUUUAUUUUGAUUUUAUGUAUUUUGAUUUAUUUUGUUUAAUUAUGUUGUUACUAAUUUAU